GUGAGUCAUCGAAUCUUUGAACGCACAUUGCGCUCGCUGGUAUUCCGGCGAGCAUGCCUGUUUGAGAAUCGAUAAACCAAAUCACCUUUGUUGGUGGACUUGAACUUUCCUGGACGCGUUAACUCGCGACCUAGUUUGUUUGAAAUAGAAUGCUGGUCUUGGCUAUAUCUCGCUUUGACAGACUUACGCGUCUUAAUGGAGUAAUCCUCAUUCGCUAACACGUCUGACUUUGCAUAUGAAAUAUACUGAAGCUAGUCUCGCACCUAGUGUUGAGCAUGAAGGGCCAGUUCAUUUUGAGCU
RNAcentral lists this unclassified non-coding RNA (300 nucleotides) under uncultured fungus. RNAcentral's name for it is "sequence contains 5.8S rRNA gene, ITS2". The stretch from base 1 to 71 matches the Rfam family "5.8S ribosomal RNA", at positions 84 to 154 of the family's 154-position model. The record is from RNAcentral. Lineage: Eukaryota; Fungi.